CCCUGCCGGGAAGAGGCCCUGGCAGCCUCCUGCGCCUCCAGCCCAUGGCGUGAUGGGCACAGCCCUGUCCUUCAGGAGGGGACACGGCCACGGUCUCACCCCUCCUGCCUUGGAGUCUUCUCUCAGGCUGGGCAGCAGCCCUGGGCCAGAGACCCUGCCCCCCCCCCCCCCCCCCCAGACCCGCCUUCCUCUGCCCGCAGUGAGUCAAGUCCGGCGUCUGUGCAGAUACUGACCCGAGGAGCAGGGGUCACCUAUCAGCAACCUGGGCUGCCCUCACUCCCUCCUUCUGCCAGGGCCGAGCACCCAAUGUUGGGGACCCCUCUGCCGCCUCCUCUGAGUCUUGACUCACCCACGGAGCACCUCCUGAGUGGGGUCACCAGGUUGACACGGGGCAGGGGGAGCUUCAGAAGAGCUGGCGCCAGCCCUGGCAACACCCCACUCCGG
This is a long non-coding RNA of Myotis davidii, 444 nucleotides long. RefSeq lists it as uncharacterized. The transcript has 3 exons. Lineage: Eukaryota; Metazoa; Chordata; Mammalia; Chiroptera; Vespertilionidae. The record is from RefSeq and is a predicted model, not a curated record.